Molecule: long non-coding RNA, 1156 nt
Filed under: Heterocephalus glaber (naked mole-rat)
Lineage: Eukaryota; Metazoa; Chordata; Mammalia; Rodentia; Bathyergidae
Description: lncRNA (ENSHGLG00100045005.1)
Source: RNAcentral
GCCUGAACCAUUUUUAUUUUAAUUUUUUUUUUAACCUGAACCAUUUUUACAUUGAAGGCAUUAUGACACUUCACUCUGAAAUACUUCAUUCUCUUUUGUAAUCACAGUACAAUCAUCAAAAAUCAAGAAAUUUAAAGGGCUUGGUAGCCCACACCUGCGAUCCCAGCAUACCAAGAGGCUGAGGCAGGAGAAUUGCAAGUUUGAGGCCAGCCUGGGCUACAUAGUUAAGACCAUAUCCCAAAAACUAACUGAAUAAUAUUAAAAGGGCUGGGAAUGUAGCUCAGCAUGCUGUGAAUGUGAUCCCUAGUGUCAACAAAAGAAAAAAGAAAAAUUAAGAAACUUAACAUGGAGACAGUGAUAAAUCUAGUCCUUUUUUUCCCCGAAGCACUGACAUAUAGUAGGCAGGUGUCCACCACUAUGGUGUCUGGUCUGCCCAUCCCACUUGCUCUAGCAUUAUAGUAAAUAAAGGCAAAGUUUGUGUUAAUGUAAAAACUAUAUCAAUCAAGGGAAGAAAGUUAAAUUGCUCACUUCUUCACCAUGUAGGCUUGCUAUGAACGCAUCCUCCCAGACUUUUUCUAUACUAUAGACGUUUAUAUGUAGCAUGUCAUAUGCCUCAUGUACGUUCCUAUAUGUUGUCUCUUAUCUUGCUGAAAGCACAGCCUAAGGGAACAACUCUCAACCUACAUGUGGUGACAGGUUUCCUGCCAGCAUCCGUGAGGUGUCUCAGGAACUUGUCAAAAAUGUUAAAGCAAGUACAGUUUGUGAGUCAUUUCCUUUAAAACUCUAGAGUGGCCAGGCAUAGUGACACAUGCCUCUAAUUCCACCACUCAGGAGGCAGAGGCAGGAGGAUCUCUGUGAGUUCAAGGUUGGCCUCAAACUGGUGGCAAUCCCCCUGCCUCAGCUUCCUGAGUAGCUAGAAUCACAGCUUGAAUCAAGCCCAGCUUGAAUAUUUUAGUUUUCCAACUCCAUUUCCUUCCUUGACCUGAACAGCUCAGGCAACAGAGCUAUGGAUCUUUCAAGACCUUUUCCUGAGCAUUCACUGUUCGGACCGGACUGCCACGAUAGGCAGAGAUUGGUGAGGGGCCUGAUUACAGGGCCCACAGGCCUUUGGUUGGACUUCGUGGCUUGUGGAAAGCCAUAAACAUAGCACUCCUGA